CUGUCUCAUAAUACCCGACUCACUCAAAACACUAUAAACCUAUAGCAAAGAAAGCAUCACUAGAAGUAGCCUCGAUCCCAGGCCGAGUUUUCGCUUUUAUAACGGUUAGGCGAACAACUGGGCCUGGUACUAGUUGUCUGCGCAUGUGUCAGUCGUUCGUCAGAUUCUGACUGAAUGGAUAUUCUCGUUCACUUUCGUGACAUUUAUAUUCGUGUACUAUCGUGUACUAGAAGUCAGUUCCCGUUUUAUCAUUAUUGGAAUCGAUUGGAAUGGCUCUUAGCUGAAGCUUCUCUCUUCUCUGAAGCUUAUUCUGAAGACUGAACAACAAGGGAAGAGGUAUAAAGCUUUGUCAAGCUUGUUAAGGUCAGAUAUUUUUGUGUGGGCCCUAUGGCCGGCUAUGCUAUCAAGUCUUGUUCAUGUUUGGCAAGAAUGUAGGUAGACUAUAGUUUCAUCAUUAAUAUGGUGGAUCAAGUGAAGAGUGUGAGCUAGAGAACUUGGUGCUGCCAUCAUCAGCUCGUCGACAAUGACACUAUAACCGAGAAAUUUAAUAUGUAUAGAUCUACACGUAUUUAAAAUGUCUACUUCUCUGUACAGGAGCAAUGGCUAAUAUCCAGCUAUCCCAACAGUGCUCCUCUUGGCUAUACUAACGGACGAGACUGGACAGUUUGAGACACAGGACUGGAGUAUGACCUGCUCAUUCGAGCGUUGCUGGGUAGCUCAGAGACAUCAAGAGAAUCUACGUUUUCUCAAGCAAUGAGUUACGAGUUGGGGCCUAGAAUCAGAGAAGUCCAGCAGCCUGCUAAAUCUUUUUGAAACGUAAUUUGAAGGCAUUCAAUCAUCCUGAAGUUGCCCUGGGUCACUGUAAUUGUGCUGCAGCACAACUGGCAACUCCCCAGGCCUUUGUGAAGCAGCUCCCUAUGUGCAUCUUUUGUGUACUCACUCUGUGCAUUUUCUGUGUACAAAUUUCUAUUAUUGAUUUAUUAAAUAUUUUUGCCGACCACAAA
This is a long non-coding RNA of Halichondria panicea, 1004 nucleotides long. RefSeq lists it as uncharacterized. The record is from RefSeq and is a predicted model, not a curated record. Lineage: Eukaryota; Metazoa; Porifera; Demospongiae; Suberitida; Halichondriidae. The transcript is spliced from 2 exons.